RNAcentral lists this ribosomal RNA (1975 nucleotides) under cnidarian metagenome. Its description in RNAcentral is "bacterial LSU rRNA". The stretch from base 280 to 1743 matches the Rfam family "Bacterial large subunit ribosomal RNA". The record is from RNAcentral.
ACCUUUUGUUUUUGCUCCCACUAGAUCCAACCACAAUACAUCAGAGGAUAUAUCUAAGCUUAUCACUAUCCACUUUAUCAAGAAAUCUGAACUUUAAAUAUUUAAAAGUUCAGUUUGGUAAUCAAAAGAUUUUAAUAAUAUUAUAGAAAACAUUCAUAAAAAUAUAAUAAUGAUUAUGUAAGUAGCGGCGAGCGAGUGCAUAAAACACGACCUACAAAAAGAGGCUAUGAGGCCACGUGCCAUUAUGAUAAGACUUACAAAGACAGUACUAUGAAGGAAAGUUUAUAAUCUAAUAAUCCCCUGAUAUAAUAGUUGUAUCCCAACAUACCUUUUGUAUAAUGGGCCUGCAAGAAAAGAUUUAGUUAAUUAACAUUAAUAGAAACAAUUAUAAAAUUAAAUCUUCCCGAAACUAAGUGAUCGAUUCUAGGGCAGCAUAAAGUGCGAACUAUUGACUGUUGCAAAAGUCUUAGAAGACCUUAGAAUAGAGGUUAAAUACUAAUCGAACUUAGAAAUAGCUGGUUUUCUACGAAAUCUUUAUAAGAAGAAGCAGAAUUAUAUGGGUACAAGGUAAAUAUUAAUUUGUAACCAACAGAAUUCUGUUAACAACCUAUUAAUGCUAAGGUUAAUAGUUUAUUGAGAAACAACUCGACGCAAAAGCUAAAGACGUUAAUUAAAUAAGUGCCACACAUUAUAUAGUAUAAACAAGAAAUAAGUGGGCUUGGAAGCAGCCAUCUUAUAAAAACCGCGUAACAGCGACUUUCAAAAACAUCUAUUUUAUAAAUUAAGGCGACUAUACAUACCCUGAUGCUUUGUUAUAGCUAGUAGAACGGACUAUAAAAAUAGUGGAGAUCAUGCGGGCAUGAAUAAUAUUUUAACUUAAAGGUUUAAUAUUUAAACAGUUUUCAAAACCCCUACAAAUAAUAUGCCAACACGCCAUGCAAGAAAUUAGCAUAUAAAAUACCGUACAAUCUAACCACAGUUAGUAAUCAAUGAAUAUAAUUGUAAUUAAGGAACUCGGCAAAACAGAGCUAAAAGCUUAAUAAAAAGAUCGACUGUUUACCAAAAACAUAGCCCCACCAACCUAAUGUGGGGUGUGACCUGCUCAGUGACUAUGAAUAAAAAAUAAUAGUAGUUAAACAGCCGCGGUAACUCUGACCGUGAUAAAGUAGCAUAAUCACUCGUCAUUUAAUUGAUGACUGGAAUGAACGGUUACACGAAUCUUUAACUGUCUCAAUUACAAAAUUUAUGAACUUAAAAUAAUAGUGAAGAUGCUAUUUACUAAUUGUAAGACGAAAAGACCCUAUCGAGCUUUACUAAAUACUUAAACCACGCAAAAAAAUAAUCAUAUUAAAAUGAAUCUUUAAGUAGGUUAGUUUGGUUGGGGCGACCACCUCUAAAAAAGUAUCAGAGGAGAUCUAAAGGUUAAUUAAUAAUAUAAGAAGCCUAACUGUAUAUUCACAGAUUAAUCAGUUACUAUUAGUAGGUUAUAAUGACCCGUUCAGAGUGUCUUAAAUACUUGAACGACAACGAAAAAAGUUACCGUAGGGAUAACAGGGUAAUAUUUCCGUAGAGUUCAUAUCGAUGGAGAUGUUUGCCACCUCGAUGUUGAAUUGUGAUAUCCUCAGGGUGUAGCAGCUCUAAAGGGUUGGUCUGUUCGACCAUUAAAAUCAUACAUGAUUUGAGUUCAUUCCGUCGCAAGACAGGAAGGUUUCUAUCUACAAUUAAGGAUAAUAUGUAAAUUUUAGUACGAAAGGAAUUAAUAUUACUGUUAUAAUAACAAAUAAAACUGGUUUGAACCAAUAUAAAACCAGAUGUGAAAUCCAACAAUUAUAUAUAAUGAAGAUAACCCAAAAGAAAAUACAAUCAGAACUAUGAACUUAUUAUGCGCUGACCGACACCAAUAUACACACAAAUAUUUUACAAGGUAUUUCCAAAAAAAUCAUACACCAAUAUACACACAGCAAAACCAACACAA